GUGGGGAAUAUUGGACAAUGGGGGGAACCCUGAUCCAGCCAUGCCGCGUGUGUGAAGAAGGCCUUUUGGUUGUAAAGCACUUUAAGCGAGGAGGAGGCUACCGAGAUUAAUACUCUUGGAUAGUGGACGUUACUCGCAGAAUAAGCACCGGCUAACUCUGUGCCAGCAGCCGCGGUAAUACAGAGGGUGCAAGCGUUAAUCGGAUUUACUGGGCGUAAAGCGCGCGUAGGUGGCCAAUUAAGUCAAAUGUGAAAUCCCCGAGCUUAACUUGGGAAUUGCAUUCGAUACUGGUUGGCUAGAGUAUGGGAUAGGAUGGUAGAAUUCCAGUUGUAGCGGUGAAAUGCGUAGAGAUCUGGAGGAAUACCGAUGGCGAAGGCAGCCAUCUGGCCUAAUACUGACACUGAGGUGCGAAAGCAUGGGGAGCAAACAGGAUUAGAAACCCUGGUAGUCC
This 451-nucleotide ribosomal RNA is filed under the name uncultured bacterium. RNAcentral's name for it is "partial 16S ribosomal RNA". It matches the Rfam family "Bacterial small subunit ribosomal RNA", at positions 354 to 796 of the family's 1533-position model. The record is from RNAcentral.